UGAGCAACCUGCCCCUGGCUCUGGGAUAACCCCGGGAGACCGGAGCUAAUACCGGAUACGAGACCGAUUGGCAUCUUUACGGUCUGGAAAGUUUUUCGGCCAGGGAUGGGCUCGCGGCCUAUCAGCUUGUUGGUGGGGUAAUGGCCCACCAAGGCGACGACGGGUAGCCGGCCUGAGAGGGCGACCGGCCACACUGGGACUGAGACACGGCCCAGACUCCUACGGGAGGCA
RNAcentral lists this ribosomal RNA (231 nucleotides) under uncultured bacterium. RNAcentral describes it as "partial 16S ribosomal RNA". It matches the Rfam family "Bacterial small subunit ribosomal RNA", at positions 118 to 350 of the family's 1533-position model. The record is from RNAcentral.